AUUGAACGCUGGCGGAAUGCUUUACACAUGCAAGUCGAACGGUAGAGGGGGCAACCCCUCGAGAGUGGCGAACGGGUGAGUAAUAUAUCGGAACGUGCCCAGUCGUGGGGGAUAACGUAGCGAAAGUUACGCUAAUACCGCAUACGAUCUACGGAUGAAAGCGGGGGACUCGCAAGAGCCUCGCGCGAUUGGAGCGGCCGAUAUCAGAUUAGGUAGAUGGUGAGGUAACGGCUCACCAUGGCGACGAUGGGUAGGGGGCCUGAGAGGGUGGUCCCCCACACUGGUACUGAGACACGGACCAGACUCCUACGGGAGGCAGCAGUGAGGAAUAUUGGUCAAUGGGCGCAAGCCUGAACCAGCCAUGCCGCGUGCAGGAAGACGGUCCUAUGGAUUGUAAACUGCUUUUAUUUGGGAAUAAACCUAUCUACGUGUAGAUAGCUGAAGGUACCAAAUGAAUAAGCACCGGCUAACUCCGUG
This 477-nucleotide ribosomal RNA is filed under the name uncultured bacterium. Its description in RNAcentral is "bacterial SSU rRNA". It matches the Rfam family "Bacterial small subunit ribosomal RNA", at positions 30 to 507 of the family's 1533-position model. The record is from RNAcentral.